This 393-nucleotide long non-coding RNA is filed under the name Rattus norvegicus (Norway rat). RNAcentral describes it as "long non-coding RNA NONRATT003029". Lineage: Eukaryota; Metazoa; Chordata; Mammalia; Rodentia; Muridae. The record is from RNAcentral.
GCCCCUUCCUCAGCAGCCCUUUGCGGACUCUCCACCAGCUGCCCAGCCAGCCCUUCACCGGUAAGCUAUUUGACCUAAGCCUUCGCUCUGUGUACUCUUGCAUGUUCUCAACAUGUUUGUGCCGAUUUCUAAGACCUUUUUGGCUAUGCCAUUUUUGUGUAUUUGCCUGUCAUCCAUUUUGCUUGAGUCUCUUCUACAUUCAUAUCAUGUCAUACUGUUUGUUGAUAUGUCUUUCCAUGCUUGUGCUGGUUUGGAUAUUGACUUAUGUCUGAGCCUUGUAUGUCCUUAUAUGCAUGUUCCUCCUUUUCCUUUAGUCUGGCCAUUUUCUGGGAUUUGUAAAUAGGAUGCUCUGGGCGUGAUGAAAAAUACAUUUGAGCCACAUGGAUGAUUGUA